AGAGUUUGAUCCUGGCUCAGAUUGAACGCUGGCGGCAUGCUUUACACAUGCAAGUCGAACGGCAGCACGAGGGCAACCUUGGUGGCGAGUGGCGAACGGGUGAGGAAUGCAUCGGAACGUGUCUUCAAGUGGGGGAUAACGCAUCGAAAGGUGUGCUAAUACCGCAUAAUCUCUGAGGAGAAAAGCAGGGGAUCGCAAGACCUUGCGCUUUUGGAGCGGCCGAUGUCUGAUUAGCUUGUUGGUAAGGUAAAAGCUUACCAAGGCUUCGAUCAGUAGCUGGUCUGAGAGGACGACCAGCCACACUGGGACUGAGACACGGCCCAGACUCCUACGGGAGGCAGCAGUGGGGAAUUUUGGACAAUGGGGGCAACCCUGAUCCAGCCAUGCCGCGUGAGUGAAGAAGGCCUUCGGGUUGUAAAGCUCUUUCAGCCGGAACGAAACGGUUACGGUUAAUACCCGUGACUACUGACGGUACCGGAAGAAGAAGCACCGGCUAACUACGUGCCAGCAGCCGCGGUAAUACGUAGGGUGCGAGCGUUAAUCGGAAUUACUGGGCGUAAA
RNAcentral lists this ribosomal RNA (561 nucleotides) under uncultured Pseudomonadota bacterium. RNAcentral's name for it is "bacterial SSU rRNA". It matches the Rfam family "Bacterial small subunit ribosomal RNA", at positions 8 to 564 of the family's 1533-position model. The record is from RNAcentral. Lineage: Bacteria; Pseudomonadati; Pseudomonadota.